This 392-nucleotide ribosomal RNA is filed under the name Aplanochytrium sp. RNAcentral's name for it is "partial small subunit ribosomal RNA". It matches the Rfam family "Eukaryotic small subunit ribosomal RNA", at positions 582 to 975 of the family's 1831-position model. The record is from RNAcentral. Lineage: Eukaryota; Bigyra; Thraustochytrida; Thraustochytriidae.
AUUCCAGCUCCAAUAGCGUAUAUUAAAGUUGUUGCAGUUAAAAAGCUCGUAGUUGGAUUUCUGGUAGGAGCGACCGUGCCGAACUUGAUUGUUCGUGUAUUGUGUUGUCUUCAGCCAUCCUCGUGGAGAACUUUUCUAACAUUAACUUGUUGGGAUUGGGACCCGCGUCGUUUACUGUGAAAAAAUUAGAGUGUUUAAAGCAGGCAUUAGCUUGAAUACAUUAGCAUGGAAUAAUAAGAUAGGACUUUGGUACUAUUUUGUUGGUUUGCAUACCAAAUUAAUGAUCAACAGAAACAGUUUGAGGAUAUUCGUAUGAACAUGUCAGAGGUGAGAUUCUUGGAUUUUGAUCAGACGAACUACUGCGAAAGCAUUUAUCAAGGAUGUUUUCAUCA